This 402-nucleotide ribosomal RNA is filed under the name bacterium. RNAcentral describes it as "partial 16S ribosomal RNA". It matches the Rfam family "Bacterial small subunit ribosomal RNA", at positions 355 to 776 of the family's 1533-position model. The record is from RNAcentral.
UGGGGAAUUUUGCACAAUGGGGGAAACCCUGAUGCAGCGACGCCGCGUGAUUUAGAAGGCCUUCGGGUUGUACAAAUCUUUUCUAUGGGAAGAAAAUGACAGUACCAUAGGAAUAAGGACCGGCUAAUUACGUGCCAGCAGCCGCGGUAAUACGUAAGGUCCGAGCGUUGUCCGGAAUCAUUGGGCGUAAAGGGUACGUAGGCGGGUAAGCAAGUUAGAAGUGAAAUCCUAUAGCUCAACUAUAGUAAGCUUUUAAAACUGCUCAUCUUGAGGUAUGGAAGGGAAAGUGGAAUUCCUAGUGUAGCGGUGAAAUGCGCAGAUAUUAGGAGGAAUACCGGUGGCGAAGGCGACUUUCUGGCCAUAACCUGACGCUGAGGUACGAAAGCGUGGGUAGCAAACAGG